Corylus avellana is the source of this 897-nucleotide non-coding RNA. Lineage: Eukaryota; Viridiplantae; Streptophyta; Magnoliopsida; Fagales; Betulaceae. The record is from RefSeq and is a predicted model, not a curated record.
GGUGCAUCAACAAAUUUCAGUAUUUGAAAUUGUGGUUGGAGAUGUAGUUUGCUUAAAGAUUGGAGAUCAAGUUCCAGCAGAUGGCUAUUCUUAGAUGGGCAUUCGUUGAAAGUGGACAAAUCCAGCAUGACAGGGGAGAGUGACCAUGUAGAAGUAAAUUGCAGUCAUCCAUUUUUGGUUUCUGGUGCAAAGGUGCUGGCUUGAUGCCCAUGCUUGAAUGCUUGCCACUGGCCAUCACGCUUACACCUGCCUAUUCCAUGAAGAGAAUGAUGGCUGAUCAGACAAUGGUGCAGAAGCUCUCUCCCUGUGAAACCAUGGCCUCUGCCACCACCAUUUGUACUGACAAAACAGGCACUCUCAGGCUGAACGAAAUGAUCUCGUAGAGCGUGAGAGUGCCUGUUUUAUCAGUGCAAAUGAAGGUGGCAGAGCCCAUGGUCUCACAGCAGAGAGCUUCCGCACCAUUGCCUGAUCAGCCAUCAUUCUCUUCAUGGCAUAAGCAAGUGUGAGCGUGACGGCCAGUGGCAAACCUUCUAGAAUUGCAACCACAACUAUAGUAACUGCUUGCCAUUGAACUCCCUUGUGUUCUCUUCUUUUGUAUUUCCUUUGCUCCAGAAACCAAAAAUGGAUGACUGCAAUUUACUUCUACAUGGUCACUCUCCCCUGUCAUGCUGGAUUGGCCUACUUGAAAGGAGUGCCCAUCUAAGAAUAGCCCAUCUGCUGGAACUUGAUCUCAAAUCUUUAAGCAAUUUACAUCUCCAACCACAAUUUCAAAUACUGAAAUCUGUUGACGCCCCUCCCAAGCUCUCACAACAUCAACUGGGAUAUUGUUGCUGACUUCGGAUAAUUUGUCAAUCUGUCGGAUUUCGACAACAAUAAAUACGUCUGUUGUUUCCUGUC